UACGUAGGUGGCAAGCGUUGUCCGGAUUUAUUGGGUUUAAAGGGUGCGUAGGCGGGUUGUUAAGUCAGUGGUGAAAUCUUGCAGCUUAACUGUAAAAUUGCCAUUGAUACUGACGAUCUUGAGUACACUUGAAGUGGGCGGAAUAUGUCAUGUAGAGGUGAAAUUCUUAGAGAUGACAUAGAACACCGAUUGCGAAGGCAGCUUACUAGGCUGUAACUGACGCUGAGGCACGAUAGCGUGGGGAUCAAACAGG
Molecule: ribosomal RNA, 253 nt
Filed under: uncultured bacterium
Lineage: Bacteria
Description: partial 16S ribosomal RNA
Rfam family: Bacterial small subunit ribosomal RNA
Source: RNAcentral